GAGAAACUUACUGACCUUUACUUCCUGCUGCCUCAUGAUCUCAGAGCAGCCUGAUCUUCAAGAUGUUCCAAUGGACAAACUAGAAAUGGCACUAAAGGCCUAUGUAAAAGCAGAAACCUCAGAGAAGAACAUGAAAGAGGGACAUUCCUUCCUGUAAGAUAGAAAACAGAGAACACACAGGAAGACAGUAGGAACCUUCAAAGACAAGUCCCAGUAACUAACUGCCACCAAGAAGUUCCCACAUCUUCUUUGUGCAUGUUGCUGUGAACUAAUCACAUCUCACUGGUACCAGGAGCUGAAAACUAAGUCUAUAUAUGUACUUCAUUUGCCGAUGGGACAUUCCUGUGUUCUAAACAAUAAUAAUUUGCAAACAACUUAA
Molecule: long non-coding RNA, 379 nt
Organism: Peromyscus eremicus (cactus mouse)
Lineage: Eukaryota; Metazoa; Chordata; Mammalia; Rodentia; Cricetidae
Exons: 2
Source: RefSeq, a predicted model, not a curated record